This 383-nucleotide ribosomal RNA is filed under the name Aeromonas sp. PW5. RNAcentral's name for it is "bacterial SSU rRNA". It matches the Rfam family "Bacterial small subunit ribosomal RNA", at positions 549 to 932 of the family's 1533-position model. The record is from RNAcentral. Lineage: Bacteria; Pseudomonadati; Pseudomonadota; Gammaproteobacteria; Aeromonadales; Aeromonadaceae.
AAUUACUGGGCGUAAGCGCACGCAGGCGGUCGGAUAAGUUAGAUGUGAAAGCCCCGGGCUCAACCUGGGAAUUGCAUUUAAAACUGUCCAGCUAGAGUCUUGUAGAGGGGGGUAGAAUUCCAGGUGUAGCGGUGAAAUGCGUAGAGAUCUGGAGGAAUACCGGUGGCGAAGGCGGCCCCCUGGACAAAGACUGACGCUCAGGUGCGAAAGCGUGGGGAGCAAACAGGAUUAGAUACCCUGGUAGUCCACGCCGUAAACGAUGUCGAUUUGGAGGCUGUGUCCUUGAGACGUGGCUUCCGGAGCUAACGCGUUAAAUCGACCGCCUGGGGAGUACGGCCGCAAGGUUAAAACUCAAAUGAAUUGACGGGGGCCCGCACAAGCGG